UAAGGCAAGAGUGUACUACUUAGUGUCUU
RNAcentral lists this non-coding RNA (29 nucleotides) under Rattus norvegicus (Norway rat). The record is from RNAcentral. Lineage: Eukaryota; Metazoa; Chordata; Mammalia; Rodentia; Muridae.